UACGUAGGGAGCAAGCGUUGUCCGGAAUUACUGGGUGUAAAGGGAGCGUAGGCGGGAAUGCAAGUUGAAUGUCAAAUCUACCGGCUUAACUGGUAGCCGCGUUCAAAACUGCGUUUCUUGAGUGAAGUAGAGGCAGGCGGAAUUCCUAGUGUAGCGGUGAAAUGCGUAGAUAUUAGGAGGAACACCAGUGGCGAAGGCGGCCUGCUGGGCUUUUACUGACGCUGAGGCUCGAAAGUGUGGGUAGCAAACAGG
Molecule: ribosomal RNA, 252 nt
Filed under: [Clostridium] methylpentosum DSM 5476
Lineage: Bacteria; Bacillati; Bacillota; Clostridia; Eubacteriales; Oscillospiraceae
Also listed under: 1 other name
Description: partial 16S ribosomal RNA
Rfam family: Bacterial small subunit ribosomal RNA
Source: RNAcentral